This 64-nucleotide transfer RNA is filed under the name Plaxiphora albida. Its description in RNAcentral is "tRNA-His". Lineage: Eukaryota; Metazoa; Mollusca; Polyplacophora; Chitonida; Mopaliidae. The record is from RNAcentral.
GUUAGAUUAAUUUAAAUGAAUAUUAAGUUGUGGUCUUAAAAGAAAGCUAAAGGCUUAUCUAACA